UACGUAGGUGGCAAGCGUUGUCCGGAAUUACUGGGUGUAAAGCGCGUGUAGGCGGGAGGCCAAGUCUGCUGUGAAAUCGCUCGGCUCAACUGGGCGGGGUCGGUGGAAACUGGUCACCUGGAGGACGGUAGAGGCGAGUGGAAUUCCCGGUGUAGUGGUGAAAUGCGUAGAGAUCGGGAGGAACACCAGUGGCGAAGGCGGCUCGCUGGGCCGGUCCUGACGCUGAGGAGCGAAAGCGUGGGUAGCGAACAGG
This 253-nucleotide ribosomal RNA is filed under the name uncultured bacterium. Its description in RNAcentral is "partial 16S ribosomal RNA". It matches the Rfam family "Bacterial small subunit ribosomal RNA", at positions 524 to 776 of the family's 1533-position model. The record is from RNAcentral.